UGCAGGAAAAGGGCCGAGUUCCGGCUCAUAACCUGAAGGUCGUAGGUUCAAAUCCUACUCCCGCAACCA
This 69-nucleotide transfer RNA is filed under the name Ferrovibrio terrae. Its description in RNAcentral is "tRNA-Leu". Lineage: Bacteria; Pseudomonadati; Pseudomonadota; Alphaproteobacteria; Rhodospirillales; Rhodospirillaceae. The record is from RNAcentral.